AGAGUACCGGUCCUCGUAUGAGGUGAACUUCUUGCUGAGGUAAUAAAUGGCCAGCUCCUUCCUCUCUAUUUCAUCAUGUUUCCCCAGGACACAACCGAAAGCUCCAUCCAUUACGUCAAGAUAGAGUAAUAGAGGUCUAUCUAGCUUUGGUGGGAACAGUACUGGUGGUGCUGAUAGGUACUCCCUGAUUGGGUUGAAAGCUUUUUGACAUCAGUCCAAUUGGCAGCAGCAUCAUUCUUCAACAUCUUAAUGAUCGGCUCACAGAUGACAGUGGAUUGUGA
Molecule: long non-coding RNA, 281 nt
Filed under: Nicotiana benthamiana
Lineage: Eukaryota; Viridiplantae; Streptophyta; Magnoliopsida; Solanales; Solanaceae
Description: long non-coding RNA (NBEN_LNC042466)
Source: RNAcentral